GAUGAACGCUGGCUGCAUGCCUAAUACAUGCAAGUCGAGCGAACGGGCCAUAAGCUUCCUUCUCUUGUGUUGGCGGCAGCCGGGUGAGUAACACUUGGAUAACCUACCUCUACGACUCGGAUAACAACGAGAAUCCGGAGCUAAGACCGAUUAAUAUUUUUAUCCGCCUAGUUCAUCAGUGUAAGACGGUCGUUCUGUCACUUAUGGAUGGAUCCGCGAUGCAUUAGCUAGUUGGUAAGGUAACGGCUUACCAAGGCAACGAUGCAUAGGCGACCUGAGAGGGGGAUAGGCCCCCCUGGAACUGAGACACGGUCCAGACUACUACGGGAGGCAGCAGUAGGGAAGCGUACGUAAGGGGAGAAAGCCGGACGGAGCAAAGCCGAGUGAGGGAUGAAGGUCUUCGGAUAGGAAAACUCUGCUAUUAGGGAAGAACAAAUGUGUAAGUAACUGGGCACAUCUUGACGGUACCUAAUGAGAAAGCCACGGCUAACUACGUG
RNAcentral lists this ribosomal RNA (497 nucleotides) under uncultured bacterium. RNAcentral describes it as "partial 16S ribosomal RNA". It matches the Rfam family "Bacterial small subunit ribosomal RNA", at positions 28 to 507 of the family's 1533-position model. The record is from RNAcentral.